This 5697-nucleotide long non-coding RNA is filed under the name Salvia miltiorrhiza (redroot sage). RNAcentral describes it as "long non-coding RNA (SMIL_LNC001024)". Lineage: Eukaryota; Viridiplantae; Streptophyta; Magnoliopsida; Lamiales; Lamiaceae. The record is from RNAcentral.
ACGCUUUCUCUCUUCUUUCAUUCCCUCUCUCUGCGUCUCUCACACUCUCACAGCCGGCGGACGUCGCCGGUUCUCGUCGCCUGCGGCGCGGCGAAGCCGACACCCCUUCUUCCCCUCCUUCCUUUCGUUCCCUACCUCUUCUCCUGAAUCUAAAAUCCCCAAGUUGAAAUAGAUCUAGGGAUUUCUAUUUUCAAUUCACGUUCUCCGGUGAGUUCCGCCACUGCCGCCGCCGUCUCCGUCGCACCACCGCCACUUCCGACUCAGGUAAACCCCCUCUCUCUUUCUUUCUCUCUCGCUACCCUCUCGAUCUCCCCCGAUGUCGCUCUGCUUUCUCUUCUGUCCAUCUCUCUCUCUCUUCGUUUCUCAGUCUCUUUCCCUCGCUCAAACUCUCUGUUGUCGGCAGCCACCGCGGACCGCCGUGGCGUGGGCAGCGCCGGUGGUCGCUGCCGCCAGUUGCGCCUCUGCCGUGGUGGCUCGCGGCUGCUGUUGCCUCUUCCCUUCCNCUGUUCUAAUUCUUUUCCCCAUCUAUUCUAAUUGGUUUUUCUGAAUUAAAACUCUUGAUAACAGAGAUAGGUGCUCUCCAAUAAACAUUGCCGGCUGGAGGCGUUAUCAACAGGGCCGGCCCUGACAUUCUGGGGGCCCUAGGCGAAAGGAAAAAAAAAAGGUCCCCUAGAAAAUGAAGCUUCAUAAUUUUAUAGCAAAUUUGAGAUAGCUGCAUAUAUAACUAACAUUAUUAUAAAGUGCAAUAAAUCAUAAAUUGUAGUAACCCGCUCUUUUAAUUUAUUAAAACCAGUAAUGCAAUAAUUAAUUAUUGCAUCUUUCAGUGUUGAUCUUGAUUAAUUUUGACUUAUGACUUUGAGUUAUGUAGUACUGGAAGCAGAGUUAUUAUUUUAUUUCACGUGAGAAAUCGCGAGAUGGAUUAUUGAGCCAGUCAAUCGUUAUUAUUUUUACUAUUUCAAGAAUUAUAACUGACUUAGCGAAGUCAUGUUACUUAUUAAGUGCAAUAGAAGUAUUAUUUAUAUUAUUAGUUAUUAUUAUUAUUCUUGCUUAAGUCGUGAAUUUAUUCCGGCUUGUGAGGAUGAUUAAAUCUUCGGAUUUAAUUUAGAUAUUAGAUGAGCAAACGAAUUAAAUCUAUAGAUUUAAUUUAGAAUUAUUUUUACAGACUAUCGAUAUUAAUAUCGAGCAGAUACACCAUCACACGUUACAUAUUACAGUUAUAAAAAUUCUUUCCUAUACUCCUAUUACACACCAGCUGCAUCAUCAAAGGAGAAUGAGUAAAAGAAAGAAGAAAAGAAAUAGGAGAAAGAAAGGAAAUAGGGAGGAAAUAGGAGAAGAAAGAAAAGAGAGAGCAUGCGUGUGGCUGAAAUAGCUAGCUGCCAGCCGCCCAACAACUGUUCCAAUCCCCCUGCCACUACACCCUACCACCUACUUAGCACAAUCAAGUGCAAGCAACCCUUUGCCUUCUCUUUAGUCUCUAAUACCAGCCAACAUCAAACUCCAGCCAACAAUUUCUUCACACUCUUCACUUAAGGAUUCCAAGAAUAGCAGAAAUCUGCAUUCCCUACUCUGCUGCAACAUUCAAGUUUUCCAGUCCAGAAAUACCUAACAACCAAAGAAACAAGGGGAGCAUUUAUUCACUGCCCUGCGGCCAUCUUAAGGUGAGUUUUGGCUACAUUCUUCCAUCUUAUACCUAGCAUCACCUGCAUAUAUUGAAAAGCAAAAACUGCUAAAUUAUUUCAGCCAUUCCAGUUCGUUAAACUCAGCGACAGCGACAAACAGCCAACCAACAUUCAUUCUCAAGGUAUUAAUUCUAUUUCAGAUAUCCAUUCUAGUAAGCAUUCAUACCAAGCAUAAUCAGUUCCAGAUGAUAUAAGACUCACAUAAGCAUGAUAGACAUAACAGACGCAGACUUUAUCAUAUAGAACACCAACCUCUAUUGUUGAACAAGUGUCAAUAAGAAUUCGAGUCAAACGAGCAUAGUAUGAGUCACAUGCGAAUGAGAGUUUAGACUGCAUCUGUUUAUAUUUUGUCGUUGAGAACCGAAAAGGAAAAGAAGGAGCAAGAUGUCUACUUAGCUUUAGGAAGGAGUGGGCGACUGCCCUGCUUCGAAUCGGGAAGACGGCGCGACGACGGAGCCUCCAUUGACGUCGGAACUAAAGAGUCGCAGGAGGUGGCAGACAUCGCCUACUCGCUGGAAUCGUACAACGGCAACGACCGGGACGAUUCUGACUUAGGCAUUUAGGACUUCCUUUUUCUCACCCCCUUCUUUCGGCUUGUGAGAUACGAUGGAGAGAGAGGACGGAUGGACGGCGACUGUAAAUCGCCGGGUUUACAGAACGCCGGGGCGCCGAGCAGAGAGGGAGACGGUUCAAAAUCAAAGGGGGAAAUUAGGGCUGCUCGUUUGGGGAUCCCCAUUAAAUUGAGGAAGGAGGGAGGACGAACGAAGGCGGCGGCCUCAGAGACGCAGACGACGGCCGUUCGCCGGACACCCAAUUGCAGCGGCGACGGCGACCUUCAAUUCGUGAAUUAGGGCUCGCUCUCCUCGCCUCGGACGAACUGUCAGCAAUAGAGAAGAUAAGGAGAGAAAGGCGGGUGCGGCCACGCCGGACCUAGGAUCGGCGGUAGCCGACGCCGGUCGGAGCAGAGGCGGCGGCUGCAACCUCGACUGAAGGGGAGAAGUCGACUGUUUUGGGUAGGAGUUCUCGACUGAUGCUGAGAGAAGAGAGAGAGCCGACUGUUUGAAAAAGAUGAGAGAGAGGACCGAUCAUGAGGCGGGUUGGGCCUUGAAUUAUUUUACUUUGGGCCGCUUUUUGACUUCGGGCUGAAUUUUAUUAACUCAAGCCCAGUUGUUUUGUUUAAGGAUGAGCCUGCUUCACUUUAUUUUCAUUGGGCUGCAUCCAUUUUUCUAUGUUGGGCCGAAUUAUAUAACUCUAUGGGCCGAUUCUUUUAUUUUGAGCCCAGCUGACUUCUUUUAAUUGGACUGUUUUUAAGCAUUCAAUUAGACUCUCAUUUAUUUUCUUUGGGCCGAGUUUCUUUAAUUAUUUGGGCCUCUGCAUCUUAUGCAAUUUAGCCCAGAUUAAUUUUCAUUUUAUAGUUUGGGCUUGUAAUUAUUUCAGUAAUUGGACCAUUUUCCUUGGGCCUGUUCAAUUAUUUUACUUGGGCCCAGAAUUUUGUUAUUUUGGUUGGGCUGUUACUAUUUUAUUUGGGGCCCAAAUUUAUUUAGUUAUUCGAGCCCAUUAAUCAUAUUUCAAUUGGGCCUCUCAUAUUAUUUAUUCAAGCCCACUUAUACUUAACUAAUUAUUAGGCUGCCUUAUGUUGGGCCUUCUAAUUAUUCGAACUUACAGUAUUGCUAUUGUUCCUACUUUAGCCCGGUAAUUUACAAGGUUACAGCGAAUAAACCGAAGUAUUUAUUUAUUUCCUAUCAAUACCACGAGAGAGGUUUAUUUAAUUGGCGGAUUAGAACACCCUGAAGAGAACGGAUUAAUUUUAGUUAAUUAUCCGGCUUCAUGAGACGAGACUUAGCUUUUGUUUAAAUCCGAUAGCUUGGAUUAACAUUAGAAAUUCCCUGAUUAUUAUCUCAGAAUAAUAAUUCAUGCAUAAGAGGAUCAUGCAUCGUUAAUUUCGUAUUCUCAUUAUUUGUAGGUAUUUUGCUCGAGCAGUAUCUUAUUUAUAUUCUCGUAAUAAAGGUCAAGCACGAGAUUAAUAAUCAAUCAAGGAGCUACUGUACCACAGAAAGUUUCUAUCAGGUGGGCAUUACUUUCAUAUAUACCAAAUGAGUUUUAUAUUACAGUUGAACAAGUUAUUUCAUGACAAAAUCUUUGAAUUGAAGUUAUUUCAAGUAUUGUCUUGCCAUAAAAUGUUUCAAUUUCAGUAUGAUAUCUAUCUGAUGUGGCUUUGUCAAUUAUGUAAUCGAAUUCGGGUCCUGAGCAGUUGAUAGCUAUCCUGCCAGGGCUAGUGUACACCCAGGGCCGUGAGUCAUCGAGCGGGUUGGCCGGUCAAGUGUCCGUGAGAGGUGGCCACCUCUCCGGCACACAGCUUCAGAUAUGAUAGAUUAUGAGAACUUAGUCUGAUCAGACGAACUUUAAGAAUCACAAUGACUUUAGUAGGCUUGGGCUCUUUUAACGAAAACUCCCUUGCUGUACUGUUUAUGAUGGCAUGACAAUUUACAAUUUAUUUAGCAUGUAUUUUUAUACUUAGGCAUACGUGCCCACUGAGUAUUUUUGUACUCAGCCCUGCAUAUAUUUCUAAAUGUGCAGGUUGAGCAGCUGGUGGUGGUGAUGAAGUGACGAGCGGAGUCUUUUGUCUUAUCCUUAUGUAAUAAUGAACUCUGGGAUACAUGUCUUCAUACAUGUAUCAGAACCUUAUUCCGCUGCGUACUCAGAGUAUUAUGUUGUUUUGGCUAAGUCGGAAUUAUCCGAACUUACUAGUUUAUUGUAGUCAAUAUGACUAAACCUCCGUUAUAUUUAAUUAUUCCUUUGUUAACAAUGAUUAAAUACUAUCCUUCCUUGUUCAAUUAUUCGGCGCGGCGAAGCCGCCCCCUUCUUCCCCCUCCUUCCUUUCGUUCCCUACCUCUUCUCCUGAAUUAAAUCCCCCAAGUGAAAUAGAUUAGGGAUCAUUUAAUUCACGUUCUCCGGUGAGUUCCGCCACUGCCGCCGCCGUCUUCGCAACCGCCUCUUCAAGUAAACCCCCUCUCUCUUUCUUUCUCUCUGCUACCCUCUCGAUUCCCCCCGAUGUCGCUCUGCUUUCUCUUCUGUCAUUCUCUCUCUCUUCGUUCUCAGUCUCUUCCCUCGCUCAAACUUCUGUUGUCCAGCAGCGGACGCCGUGGCGUGGGCAGCGCCGGUGGUGCUCCGCCAGUUGCCCUCUGCCGUGGUGGCUCGCGGCUGCUGUUGCCUUUUUCCUCUGUUUAAUUUUUUUGGCCUUGUAUUCUUUUUGGUUUUUCUGAAUUUAGGGGUCCUUAGGCGCUUGGUGCUUUCCCUAUGCAAUUGCCGGCGAGGGUUAUCAAUCCGACGAGGCUGCCUUAGUUCUCACUGUUGCUGUUCGAAUUUCAUCUAUUCUUCUUUUUGUAUUUAUUCAGUUAUUAACUCCUUGUAACGCUGGAAUUUCUUGUAAAAAAAAUACUCUAGAUGCUAACGAGAUUGUAUUAUUGCUUCGUAUAUGAUUUAAGGGUAGGUGUAACUAUUAUUUAUAUCUGUUGUUCUAUACAUAUUGAAUGAAUUAGCUGUGAUAAAGAAAUACUACCUGCUUGACGAAGGUGAAUUGAACUGCCGUGUAAGAUUAUUGGGGACGAUUGGUGAACUGGACCGAGUUGCAGGGUAAAAAAAAAUGGCUGAUCGUGAGAAGGAAAAUACUUAUACUAUCUCUAAGUCGGUUUGGAAAACAGCUGAGUAAUGAGUGUAGAGCCACGUGUUGCUUGAGCAGCUAAUCUACUUUAAUAAUCCAAUUUGCACAAUUGCACUAAUAAGAGUAGGUUAAUCUACUGAUUUAAAAGAGUUCAACUUGGGCCUCUUCUCAUAUACCUACAUAACCUUUGGCCCAAAUAAUAAAAUAUUGGGUUUAACUUCAAAAAUUCAUAUAAUCACUUGCCCAAAUAAUAUUUAUUGAGCUUUUUGCAUAAAAUUGAGACCUCUCUUUCUUCUUUAAAAUAAUAGAAAAUAAUCAAAAUAAUAUUAAUAAUAUAUAUAUACUGUAGUGAAAAUG